CCCCGGUAAACGGCGGCCGUAACUAUAACGGUCCUAAGGUAGCGAAAUUCCUUGUCGGGUAAGUUCCGACCUGCACGAAUGGCGUAAUGAUGGCCAGGCUGUCUCCACCCGAGACUCAGUGAAAUUGAACUCGCUGUGAAGAUGCAGUGUACCCGCGGCAAGACGGAAAGACCCCGUGAACCUUUACUAUAGCUUGACACUGAACAUUGAGCCUUGAUGUGUAGGAUAGGUGGGAGGCUUUGAAGUGUGGACGCCAGUCUGCAUGGAGCCGACCUUGAAAUACCACCCUUUAAUGUUUGAUGUUCUAACGUGGACCCGUAAUCCGGGUUGCGGACAGUGUC
This 341-nucleotide ribosomal RNA is filed under the name Salmonella enterica subsp. enterica serovar Typhimurium. Its description in RNAcentral is "partial 23S ribosomal RNA". It matches the Rfam family "Bacterial large subunit ribosomal RNA", at positions 1918 to 2258 of the family's 2925-position model. The record is from RNAcentral. Lineage: Bacteria; Pseudomonadati; Pseudomonadota; Gammaproteobacteria; Enterobacterales; Enterobacteriaceae.